RNAcentral lists this ribosomal RNA (483 nucleotides) under uncultured bacterium. RNAcentral describes it as "partial 16S ribosomal RNA". It matches the Rfam family "Bacterial small subunit ribosomal RNA", at positions 30 to 507 of the family's 1533-position model. The record is from RNAcentral.
AUUGAACGCUGGCGGCAGGCCUAACACAUGCAAGUCGAGCGGAUGAAGGGAGCUUGCUCCUGGAUUCAGCGGCGGACGGGUGAGUAAUGCCUAGGAAUCUGCCUGGUAGUGGGGGAUAACGUCCGGAAACGGGCGCUAAUACCGCAUACGUCCUGAGGGGGAAAGUGGGGAUCUUCGGACCUCACGCUAUCAGAUGAGCCUAGGCCGGAUUAGCUAGUUGGUGGGGUAAAGGCCUACCAAGGCGACGAUCCGUAACUGGUCUGAGAGGAUGAUCAGUCACACUGGAACUGAGACACGGUCCAGACUCCUACGGGAGGCAGCAGUGGGGAAUAUUGGACAAUGGGCGAAAGCCUGAUCCAGCCAUGCCGCGUGUGUGAAGAAGGUCUUCGGAUUGUAAAGCACUUUAAGUUGGGAGGAAGGGCAGUAAGUUAAUACCUUGCUGUUUUGACGUUACCAACAGAAUAAGCACCGGCUAACUUCGUG